CGGCCACGGUACCCUAACCGUGCGAAGGUAGCAUAAUCACUUGUUCUUUAAAUAGGGACUUGUAUCAACGGCNUCAMGAGGGUUGCACUGUCUCCUUUCUCUAAUCAGUGAAACUAAUCUCCCCGUGAAGAAGCGGGGAUACUCCUAUNAGACGAGAAGACCCCAUGGAGCUUUAAACCCAACUAUAUACCUUACUACUAAGACCAUCUAACCCUUAAGAUCUAUAUACUUGGUUUUAGGUUGGGGCGACCACGGAGUAUAACCAAACCUCCACGAUGAACGGAAUAACCCCCCAUCUAAGAGCCACACCUCUAAGAAUUAGCAUACUAACAUAAAAUGACCCAUUAUUGAUCAACGAACCAAGUUACCCUGGGGAUAACAGCGCAWUCCAUUUUAAGAGCCCCUAUCGACAAAUGGGUUUACGACCUCGAUGUUGGAUCAGGAUAUCCCAGUGGUGCAGCAGCUACUAAAGGUUCGUUUGUUCAACGAUUAAAAUCCU
Molecule: ribosomal RNA, 499 nt
Filed under: Mantidactylus tavaratra
Lineage: Eukaryota; Metazoa; Chordata; Amphibia; Anura; Mantellidae
Description: partial 16S ribosomal RNA
Rfam family: Bacterial large subunit ribosomal RNA
Source: RNAcentral